CCGACUUCUGCCACAGCCAAUCGUAAGUGAGGACGGCAAGCGGUGCGCCGCUACGUCACAACAGCGCGAUGAAUUCUUCUGGUAGAGAGGGGAAGUGCCCCGCCACCGGCAAGCGGAUUUGCACGCCUGCGCAACAGCUCCAGGCUCUAAUUGCUCUUCUGACAGCCUAUGAGAAGACCAGAAGACUAGAGUGGUAGUUUGGAGAGCAAAAUGAAGGCCCUUUCCCGUCCCUGUCCCCUCAGUUGGCCAAUGAGGAACUGAAGCGACUGAUGGGGCUUGAGGUCUGGGACGGGAAAGAGCGCCAGGUGUUACAUCACUAAAAUGGGUGGAGCAGAAGUCUGGUUUGGGAAAAGAGCGGUUGGAUUGACGGGCGAAGGGGCCCUGGGGAAGGCGAGAAAGUCAAAGUUUGACAGAUGGCCAUGGCUCUCCACCAAGCCCUCUGCAGUUGCUGCGUGACCACAGAUUUGUGAAAUAGCAGGCUACCCUGCAAAUGACCAAUUACAAGUCCCUAUGGCUUCUGGGGCAGGCUGACCCCAGGUCCCUGGUGACCAGCUUCCUUCCCAAAAUAGUUUCCUGCUUGAAAUGAUCUUCCCCUCUUCAGCAGCUCAGUGAUUAAAUAAUCAUGACAGAACAGUCUGGGGCACGGACCUGGGCAGUCAUCAGCAGCUACCACGUGUUUCCAGAAAGAAGUCUGGCGUCCCGGCACUUGGGGCAGGAGUCAUAGAGCUAGUCCCCACCUUUAGGGAGCGCCUGGUCUAAUGUCCUUCCCCAGCCAUCAGUCAUCCAACCGAGUUGCUGCUCAGUGAAGACUGAAUGACCCACUGGAGCCGUGCCCUAUGGAACCCAAGAAGGUUCUCUUAUCACAACAGGAAGCAAAAGUCACGGGAGAGCAGGAUUUCAAAAGCAAGAUUUCUUCAGCACCUUGGAAACACCCACUUGCCUGCCCAGCCUCCCCUCAGUUUCACCUCUUAUCUCCGCUCAAUCACUCACCGUUCCAGAUCUUUUUUGGACUUCAGUUUCUAAACUUAAAUCAGGCUUAAUUUUGGGGAGGGGAGGCAGAAGUGAAAGAUUUCACUAGGCAAUGUAUUUGACUCUCAGUCUCCUCACCGACCCAUGACAUGGCCUAUUGUUUGGAACAGUUUAUUUUUUGAAAUGUCGGAGCUCAGCUGUUCCGUCCUCAUCUCAGACUUUGUACAUUCAAAAGCAACCCUUCAUCUUCAUCUUCAAAAUCAGCCCGGUUUCCUCAUCUCUCUUAAAUGGUACCACCAUCUACCCAGCCGUUCAAGUUAAGCUUUGAUUCACACCUGCCAGCUUCAUAAAUAGGUACCAACAGAGUCGGCUGAUUCUUGGUUUGUCUGAAAUGUCACCCUACGGGCCCCUCAUCACAGUCACCCCCAUGCAGUCGCAGCCUUUAUCACUUCCUCAUGCCUGGACUCAAUAACAACCCCCUACCAGACUUAUCAACUCACUCCAUGCUGCCCAGUAUGUCAAAAUUAAUUCACCCAGAGCACAGAUUUCAUCACUCUCUUUGCUGCACGGAAGCUGCAUCGCGGCCUAUGGUGCGAAGUCCAGCCAGACACCCAGCCUGGCAUUCCCCACAUUCCUCUGCAGUCUGGCUGCCAACUUCCCCAGGCCAUCUCCCCACUCCCCAAAAGACACCCACUGCUCCCACCAGGCUGCUUAUAAAUACUGCACUCUGCUUGGUGGGGGGCAGAUGCUAACUCAUGGGAAGGGAGAGAAGGAGGGAGGCAAAGAGAGUGGAAGUACUCAGCUCUAUCUCCUCAACCCACCAUUCUAGUCCUUACCAUGAGCACCCUCCUGGGAACUGUUCCAUCUGUGUC
Mirounga angustirostris (Northern elephant seal) is the source of this 1841-nucleotide long non-coding RNA. RefSeq lists it as uncharacterized. The transcript is spliced from 3 exons. Lineage: Eukaryota; Metazoa; Chordata; Mammalia; Carnivora; Phocidae. The record is from RefSeq and is a predicted model, not a curated record.